GUUCGGAUCGCAGGCUGCAACCCGCCUGCGUGAAGUCGGAAUCGCUAGUAAUCGCGGAUCAGCAUGCCGCGGUGAAUACGUUCCCGGGCCUUGUACACACCGCCCGUCACACCAUGAGAGUCGGGAACACCCGAAGUCCGUAGCCUAACUUUAACGGAGGGGGCGCGGCCGAAGGUGGGUUCGAUAAUUGGGGUGAAGUCGUAACAAGGUAUC
RNAcentral lists this ribosomal RNA (213 nucleotides) under uncultured bacterium. Its description in RNAcentral is "partial 16S ribosomal RNA". It matches the Rfam family "Bacterial small subunit ribosomal RNA", at positions 1291 to 1500 of the family's 1533-position model. The record is from RNAcentral.